Molecule: signal recognition particle RNA, 82 nt
Filed under: Streptococcaceae bacterium
Lineage: Bacteria; Bacillati; Bacillota; Bacilli; Lactobacillales; Streptococcaceae
Description: signal recognition particle sRNA small type
Rfam family: Bacterial small signal recognition particle RNA
About the family: The signal recognition particle (SRP) is a universally conserved ribonucleoprotein involved in the co-translational targeting of proteins to membranes. Archaeal SRP consists of a 7S RNA and homologues of the eukaryotic SRP19 and SRP54 proteins.
Source: RNAcentral
UUCGGAGCGAUAUUCGGUUCGUGAAGCGGGUCAGAUCCUGACGGAAGCAGCCCUAAGCGGAGUGCGUAUGCGCUCUUUUUUA